CUGGUUUCCGCCGAGGCCAGUUGUCCUCUGGUCAGGCCCUGCCAGGAUGGAGACCCUUCCCUGGCUGGGCCUUCAGCGUGGGAGACCAGGAGGCAGAGGCCAGGGACCUUCUGUGCCCAGAUCCAGACCUGAAGUCCCACAGAUAGCGAUGGCCGAGGAGUUCUUUCCCCAGCGUUGAUGGGGGAAGCAGCAGAGUGGCCCCCAGUUCGCGUGACGCUGCCUGUCCCAGCCUCCCGUCCCAGCCUGCUCUCUUCUCAUUGAGG
Molecule: long non-coding RNA, 263 nt
Filed under: Urocitellus parryii (Arctic ground squirrel)
Lineage: Eukaryota; Metazoa; Chordata; Mammalia; Rodentia; Sciuridae
Description: lncRNA (ENSUPAG00010016854.1)
Source: RNAcentral